ACGCCGCGUGAAGGAAGCGGUUUUCGGAUUGUAAACUUCUAUCAGCAGGGAAGAAAAAAGACUGUACCUGACUAAGAAGCCCCGGCUAACUACGUGCCAGCAGCCGCGGUAAUACGUAGGGGGCAAGCGUUAUCCGGAUUUACUGGGUGUAAAGGGUACGUAGGCGGUUUAUUAAGUCAGAUGUGAAAGCCCGGAGCUCAACUCCGGGACUGCAUUUGAAACUGGUGAACUAGAGUACAGGAGAGGUAAGUGGAAUUCCUAGUGUAGCGGUGAAAUGCGUAGAUAUUAGGAAGAACACCAGUGGCGAAGCGACUUACUGGACUGUAACUGACGCUGAGGUACGAAAGCGUGGGGAGCGAACAGGAUUAGAUACCCUGGUAGUCCACGCCGUAAACGAUGAUGCUAGGUGUCGGGAGUCGAAUCNCGGUGCCGCA
This 434-nucleotide ribosomal RNA is filed under the name uncultured bacterium. Its description in RNAcentral is "bacterial SSU rRNA". It matches the Rfam family "Bacterial small subunit ribosomal RNA", at positions 394 to 850 of the family's 1533-position model. The record is from RNAcentral.